This is a long non-coding RNA of Oncorhynchus masou masou (cherry salmon), 852 nucleotides long. RefSeq lists it as uncharacterized. The record is from RefSeq and is a predicted model, not a curated record. The transcript has 2 exons. Lineage: Eukaryota; Metazoa; Chordata; Actinopteri; Salmoniformes; Salmonidae.
UCGGAGCACUACGGACAAUUCCUUCGACCUCAUGGCUUGGUUUUUUUUCUGACAUGCACUGUCAGCUGUGGGACCUUAUAUAGACAGGUGUGUGCCUUUCCAAAUCAUGUUCAAUCAAUUGAAUUUACCACAGGUGGACUCCAAUCAAGUUUUAGAAACAUCUCAAGGAUGAUCAAUGGAAACAGGAUGCACCUGAGCUCAAUUUCAAGUCCCGUAGCAAAGGGUCUGAAUACUUAUGUAAUGCCGGUGGAAGCUGGUCCCCUGCAGGAAGGUGAGGUGCCAGAGAUCCCUCCGCCCUCUCUGGACAUCGAGGGGUGGAGUGAGGGGCCUGCAGUACCUCGUGAACUGGGAAGGGUACGGUCCGGAGGAGAGGUGCUGGGUACCGGUGGGGGACAUCUUGGAUCUGUCACUGUUGAGGGAUUUCCAUCGCCUCCAUCCGGAUCACCCUGCGCCUCGCCCUCCGGGUCGCCCUCGAGGCCGGUGUCGGCGCGCGGCUCCUGUCAGGGUGGGGUACUGUCACGACUCCCACCGAAGGUGGCUCCUCUUCCUGUUCGGGCAGCGGUCGUCGUCACCGGUCUACUAGCUGCCAGUUAGAAUGCUUCUUACUCAGUUGUAGGCAUACUGUAUGUUAUUGUCAGGUACUACUUUGUGCUGAAGCACUACGUUAGCCAGUUUACAUCCCUUUUCUGUUGGUUUUGUCUUACACCUGUUUACACCUGUCUUACACCUGGUUACACCAGUUUUGUUUUUCUCCGGACUGGUUAGGUCCUGGUUUUGGGCCGGUCAUUAAUGUGCGCCCUGUAUUAGCGUGUACUAUUUUCUCUGUUCCGGAGAUUAAAGCAUUGUUCUGUA